This 424-nucleotide ribosomal RNA is filed under the name uncultured bacterium. RNAcentral describes it as "partial 16S ribosomal RNA". It matches the Rfam family "Bacterial small subunit ribosomal RNA", at positions 360 to 776 of the family's 1533-position model. The record is from RNAcentral.
AAUUUUGGACAAUGGGGGAAACCCUGAUCCAGCAAUGCCGCGUGCAGGAUGAAGGCCUUCGGGUUGUAAACUGCUUUUGUACGGAACGAAAAGGCUUGUGUUAAUACCCCGGGACCAGGACGUGACCGUAAGAAUAAGCACCGUCUAACGACGUGCGAGAAGCCGCGGUAAUACGUAGGGUGCAAGCGUUAAUCGGAAUUACUGGGCGUAAAGCGUGCGCAGGCGGUUUUGUAAGACAGUGGUGAAAUCCCCGGGCUCAACCUGGGAACUGCAAUUGUGACUGCAAGGCUGGAGUGCAGCAGAGGGGGAUGGAAUUCCGCGUGUAGCAGUGAAAUGCGUAGAUAUGCGGAGGAACACCGAUAGCGAAGGCGAUCCUCUGGGCCUGCACUGACGCUCAUGCACGAAAGCGUGGGGAGCAAACAGG